RNAcentral lists this ribosomal RNA (424 nucleotides) under uncultured bacterium. Its description in RNAcentral is "bacterial SSU rRNA". It matches the Rfam family "Bacterial small subunit ribosomal RNA", at positions 202 to 622 of the family's 1533-position model. The record is from RNAcentral.
UAAGACCUUGCGCCGAUGGAUGAGCCGAAGUCGGAUUAGCUAGUUGGUAGGGUAACGGCCUACCAAGGCGACGAUCCGUAGCUGGUCUGAGAGGACGACCAGCCACACUGGGACUGAGACACGGCCCAGACUCCUACGGGAGGCAGCAGUGGGGAAUAUUGGACAAUGGGGGCAACCCUGAUCCAGCGACGCCGCGUGUGUGAAGAAGGCCUGCGGGUUGUAAAGCACUUUUAGUGGGGAUGAAAAGCUCAGGGCUAAUACCUCUGGGUCUUGACCUAACCCACAGAAAAAGCACCGGCUAACUCUGUGCCAGCAGCCGCGGUAAUACAGAGGGUGCAAGCGUUAAUCGGAAUUACUGGGCGUAAAGCGCGCGUAGACGGUUUUGUAAGUCAGAUGUGAAAUCCCUGGGCUCAACCUGGGAACU